AGCAGCAAUUUACUGGUGAAAUAAGUCAUUGUAAUAAGUUAUUGUUAUUACAUUAUUAAUCAAUCAUUUAACUUUGACCAUAUGACCUUAGCAAUAAGUCGUUGUGUAAUGUUGCCGACUGUCGUUUUGUGCUCCUUUUUUAUAUUAUAUACAUUAUAAAUAUAUCAGGGCUGUAGUCAAGACCACCUUUGUCGAGUCCAAGACCAGGACUAGUCGAGACCAAGUCAAGACCGAGUCCAAAAAAGUCAGAGUCCUCUGCACAGUGCUGAGAAAUUCCUGGUGAUUUCUAUAACCAAAUUUGACAAAUUUUACGGUGUGUGGCAUUAACGUUAGCAGGGCAUGCAGAUGCAGGGGGGGUGCAAAGACAAUCUAGCGUGUGAUUGGUUAUCAGAUGGCCAGUGUUUCACUUUCAAUCCAAUAUUAUUAUAAAUGUAAUAAAGACACCAGGACUCGGUUCGAGACCAAAAGCCAUAUUUGGCAAGACCAGUGGCUGAGACCGAAACAAGUCCAAGUCCAAAUACCAGCGGGUCCGAGCCAAAUCCAAGAUCAUAAAAAAGCCAUCUCAAGUCCAAGACCGGACUCGAGUACUACAGCCCUGAAAUAUAUUAUAUAUAUUUCGGUUCAGGCACCGUUUAGGCACCGGUAUCGGAAAAAAAACCAAACGAUACCCAACCCUACUGCAGAACAACAGACAUAGAAGAUGGUGAUGUCUGGUAACCAUGUUGUCCUGAUUAUGUCGUUGGUUGUCAUGGUGUUGAAGGUGAUAUGUACAGUACAACAACAAAUGAUAAGACAAAUGUGCAACAUGUUUAAUUCAGAGUCAAAGAUGUUGAAACAACAGACAAAUAUUAUAAAAUCACCUUUAUCAAUAACUCAUUCAUAUCAACACUGCAGAUAUAUUCAGUUAUACGUAGGCUUUUCUAACCUCUACAGAUCUCUCUCUCUCUCUCUUUUUGGGGGGAUUAGUCAGGAAAAAAAGAGGGGAGCGAGUAGAGGGGUGUGUUAAUUUUGGCUUUUGUUUGGUGUAUCUUCAGAUUAUUCUGCAUUUAAUUCAGUCUUUUUUUGGAUAUAGUCAUUUGUAUUCUGUAUAUGGAUUCAGUAUAUCGGUAUAAGUAUAAGGUUAAGUUGUAAAUAUAUGUUGAAAGUUAUUGUGGGAUUGUCUCAGUGCUCUUCACUGUAUAAAGGUGUUGGUAGAGAGCGUAGGUGUGUAUACCGGGAGGAAAAGCAGUGUAGGGGCUCGGAGAGAGGGGAGUGGGCAGAGGGCUUUGUUAAGUUUGGCUUUUCUUUGAUGUAAGAUUGAUAGUUUUGAAUUUUCAAUUAGUUUUAUUUCAUUUGAGUUUUUACUUGGAUUUUUUUAAAGUGUAGUUUUAGACUGUGUUUGCUAGUUUAAGUUUUUAUAUAUUAAGUCAGUGAUUUUCAACCACUGUGCCACUGAGAAAUUAUCCGAUUUUACUUAAUUGGUCCAACAAAUUUUUUUUAUUGAGUUACUGCAAAUAAUUUGCCAUUGUUGCGCAUCUGUGCCUGCAAUGUGAUGACUGGCAGAUAAAUUAAAUGCUAUUCUAUGUCAGUAGGUGGCAGUAUAGCGCAAUAAUGACCUUGUUGAUUUAAGACAAUAGAAUUACUGCCACCUGGUGACAGUGCCAGGAUGUAAGCAGUAGGGCCGAGACCAUUGAUGUAAGCCUGCGACAGCGAUGGAUACAUUUUCAAAAGGAAAAAUGCAGAUUCUGAUUAUUAGGCUACAAUGUGUCAUUUUGUAACAGUUUUGGGGUUUUUUUAUGUAAAAAAUGUGCCGUGGCUCAAAAAAGGUUGAAAAACACUAUUAAGUUUUUUGUUUUUGUCAUGGCCAGGUAUUGUGUCUCAGAAGUAUGCAGCUACAUAAAGAAUAUAAGUUUAAUGUACUGUACUGCUUCUGUUGUCCAUCUGCCUAAUACAUGCUUGUACAGAGUUGAGGAACUGUGUGGCACUUGUUUAUCACGAAUAAAAAUCAGCUCUGGAAAGAAAAA
This is a long non-coding RNA of Perca fluviatilis (European perch), 2003 nucleotides long. RefSeq lists it as uncharacterized. The record is from RefSeq and is a predicted model, not a curated record. Lineage: Eukaryota; Metazoa; Chordata; Actinopteri; Perciformes; Percidae. The transcript has 2 exons.